AGGGAUAUUGGUCAAUGGGCGCAGGCCUGAACCAGCCAAGUAGCGUGAAGGAUGACUGCCCUAUGGGUUGUAAACUUCUUUUAUAAAGGAAUAAAGUCGGGUAUGUAUACCCGUUUGCAUGUACUUUAUGAAUAAGGAUCGGCUAACUCCGUGCCAGCAGCCGCGGUAAUACGGAGGAUCCGAGCGUUAUCCGGAUUUAUUGGGUUUAAAGGGAGCGUAGACGGGCCGUUAAGUCAGCUGUGAAAGUUUGAGGCUCAACCUUAAAAUUGCAGUUGAUACUGGCGUCCUUGAGUACGGUUGAGGCAGGCGGAAUUCGUGGUGUAGCGGUGAAAUGCUUAGAUAUCACGAAGAACCCCGAUUGCGAAGGCAGCCUGCUAAACCGCCACUGACAUUGAGGCUCGAAAGUGUGGGUAUCAAACAGGAUUAGAUACCCUGGUAGUCCACACGGUAAACGAUGAAUACUCGCUGUUUGCGAUAUACUGCAAGCGGCCAAGCGAAAGCGUUAAGUAUUCCACCUGGGGAGUACGCCGGCAACGGUGAAACUCAAAGGAAUUGACGGGGGCCCGCACAAGCGGAGGAACAUGUGGUUUAAUUCGAUGAUACGCGAGGAACCUUACCCGGGCUUAAAUUGCAGAUGAAUUGCGGUGAAAGCCGUAAGCCGCAAGGCAUCUGUGAAGGUGCUGCAUGGUUGUCGUCAGCUCGUGCCGUGAGGUGUCGGCUUAAGUGCCAUAACGAGCGCAACCCUUGUUGUCAGUUACUAACAGGUUCCGCUGAGGACUCUGACAAGACUGCCAUCGUAAGAUGUGAGGAAGGUGGGGAUGACGUCAAAUCAGCACGGCCCUUACGUCCGGGGCUACACACGUGUUACAAUGGGGGGUACAGAGGGCCGCUACCACGCGAGUGGAUGCCAAUCCCCAAAACCUCUCUCAGUUCGGACUGGAGUCUGCAACCCGACUCCACGAAGCUGGAUUCGCUAGUAAUCGCGCAUCAGCCACGGCGCGGUGAAUACGUUCCCG
This 1016-nucleotide ribosomal RNA is filed under the name uncultured bacterium. RNAcentral's name for it is "bacterial SSU rRNA". It matches the Rfam family "Bacterial small subunit ribosomal RNA", at positions 357 to 1376 of the family's 1533-position model. The record is from RNAcentral.